Molecule: long non-coding RNA, 2260 nt
Filed under: Heterocephalus glaber (naked mole-rat)
Lineage: Eukaryota; Metazoa; Chordata; Mammalia; Rodentia; Bathyergidae
Description: lncRNA (ENSHGLG00000037310.1)
Source: RNAcentral
CGGCAAAGGAAUCAGAGAGCAAUUUAUUUUUAUUUCAUUGUUCAGACUGGCUGCCAUCCCACUUAGAUAGAAGGGAGGUUUUCCUGGGUUGUCACGGCUUGCACUUGCAUGUCUUCAAAGCACUUGUAACUGCUUCUCACUCUUUCCACACCACUGGCAGGGAACAUGUUUGCAUCCCCAUUUUGCAGGUGGGGAAACCAAAGGCCAGGAGAGAAGGCAUAGCCCAAACACCAAAUUUUCUUGCCUCUGUCGUCCACCUCUGCUCCUAAUUCUUGACCUGUUGGGUAUUCUGAACAACCUCCUCCCCACUUGUCACCUCUGAGUUUGCAGGUAGCACGGAUAGAAUUCAUAGUAACCCAGAUCUGAAGCCUACAAUCCCUUGCCAGCUUGGUCCUUAGGCAAGACAAUUCUUUCCAUAAGAUAUUUAUAAAAGGCCCUCAGCCAGACCUGUGAGAGAGCUUGUUAUUACUCAGCCAAGAUUGCUCUCUCCUCCCGUUCCUCAUUCACCAGGAUCACAAUGAUACAUGCAACUAUUGUAGGAAAUGUAAGCUCUUCCUGAAACAAAAUUUAAGCAGCUAGUAUUUACUGAGCACUUACUUACAUGGAGCCCAUGGACUAUGCUAACACUUCACAUACAUUACCUUAGCCUUGGGACAGCCCAGCGAAAAUUCUUACCCCGGUUUUAUAGAUGAGGACAUUGAGGCUAAGAAAGACUCAGUGACUUGACCAAGGUCAUUUAGUUUGAGACAAUAUUCAUAACUCAAGUCUGUCACCCACCAAAAGCCACCUGAUUUUCACUCAAUAGCAUGGCCCUAGCUUAGCACCCUAUGAGUAGUACAUGGAAACACAUCCCAAAGUGGCAUAAGACAAGCCAGGCAAGACUGAGCUUUUUAAUUCUAGCUGCUUGGCUCACAACCCAGACUCCAAUGAGGCUACUUCCAUGCUGUUUCACGCAGCCAACAGUCCCAUCAGCCAGGGCGCUGGGAAGCUGACAAGUCAAAGGGCUCCCUGGCAGGCUUGUCCUGGCAGCGACCCAGCUGACUUGUGCUAACACAGCACAGGAAAGGGUCUAGCGAGAAUGGAAAAGCACCAGACAACGAGCCGCUGAGGGAGAGAGGUGAUUCCUGCCCCGCUCAGAUAGGAUAACCCUGCUCCACAGCCACAACCAUCACGAGGCUGGGAAAAGACCUGUGGAGGAGGGAAACAAGAGGCAAGCGCAGUGCUGGGAGUCAAACCCAGGGCUUCACUCAUACGCUAGACAAGCCUCUUACCACUGAGCUACACCACUACCACCCCAGGACAAGAGGGGCAUUUUUGAGAGAUCACAAAUUGACCCUCACUGGUUCCAAAUAACCCAAGUAUGUUAGCAUGCUUAGAUUUUAAAAAAUGAAUUGCCGACUUUUUUUAAAACAUAAGUUUCUAUAGAUAAAUAAUAAAAACUCCACUUAACUUUUACAUUUUUAAGGGAAAAAAGUGGAAAACUGGUGCCACUGAGGAAGCAGCAAACUGGAAGUUGAAUCACUACUGCCCCCUCUUGUCAGGGCUGUACUUUGCUCAUUUGUCAUCUGAUCCUGCAGGCAUCAAGAUUUGUUUAAAUACCGAAUAGUUUCUCUAGUGUGAGAAACUGAAAAUGUAAAUAAGGACUAAAAGGUAUAAUAGAUAAUGUGAAAUAGGAAGAAAAGGGGCAAAGGGGAGGGGGAGGGGAAAGGAAAGAAGGGAAUGGAAUUAAUAUGAGAAUAUAAGAACCAAGAGAGUCUGUAAAUGUGCAUAUCUCCAAUGAUGAAUGUCAUUAUAUUGUACACCUAAAAUGUACCAAUAAAAGGAUAUACAAAAAAACCCCAAUUAUGACCAUGUGAUAAGAUGAAUGAUUUUAAGAAAUAACAGGUGAAAAAGCAAUAUAAAAUUUAAAGUAUAAUGGUGUAACUGUCUUUAAAAACUACACAGAAACCCAGUAUGGUGGCACAUGCCUAUAAUUCUAGCACUUGGGAGGCUGAGGCAGGAGGAUCACCAUGAAUUCAAGGCCAGUCUGGACUACAUAGUGAGUUCAAGGCCACCCUGAACUACAUAGCAAAACCCUGGUUCAAAAACAAAAACAAAACUACACAGAAAAGUAGUGAAAAGAUAACAAAAUUCUAACAGUGGUUGCAUUACAGUGCUGGAAGUGUUGGUGACCUUGUUCUAAUCCCUACCAAAUUUCCUUUAAUGUGCAUAUAUUAUUUUCUCUUUCUUUUUUUUUUUUGGUACCGGGGAUCGAACUCAG